CGAUGGCGUGGCCGAGGCCGGCAUGGCGGCCGACCCCGACGCGUUCGGUGGCGUUAGGGUUCAGAACCUGUAGUCGCCGC
RNAcentral lists this transfer RNA (80 nucleotides) under Zestomonas carbonaria. RNAcentral's name for it is "Pseudomonas sp. Wesi-4 tRNA-Val". The record is from RNAcentral. Lineage: Bacteria; Pseudomonadati; Pseudomonadota; Gammaproteobacteria; Pseudomonadales; Pseudomonadaceae.